CCUACGGGCGGCAGCAGUGAGGAAUAUUGGUCAAUGGACGAGAGUCUGAACCAGCCAAGUAGCGUGAAGGAUGACUGCCCUAUGGGUUGUAAACUUCUUUUAUAAAGGAAUAAAACGAGGCACGUGUGCCUUUUUGCAUGUACUUUAUGAAUAAGGAUCGGCUAACUCCGUGCCAGCAGCCGCGGUAAUACGGAGGAUCCGAGCGUUAUCCGGAUUUCUUGGGUUUAAAGGGAGCGUAGGUGGAUUGUUAAGUCAGUUGUGAAAGUUUGCGGCUCAACCGUAAAAUUGCAGUUGAAACUGGCAGUCUGGAGUACAGUAGAGGUGGGCGGAAUUCGUGGUGUAGCGGUGAAAUGCUUAGAUAUCACGAAGAACUCCGAUGGCGAAGGCAGCUCGCUGGACUGCAACUGACGCUGAGGCUCGAAAGUGUGGGUAUCAAACAGGAUUAGAUACCCGGGUAGUC
This 460-nucleotide ribosomal RNA is filed under the name uncultured bacterium. RNAcentral describes it as "partial 16S ribosomal RNA". It matches the Rfam family "Bacterial small subunit ribosomal RNA", at positions 338 to 795 of the family's 1533-position model. The record is from RNAcentral.